CUCUCCUACAAGGUGUGUCUGUGGUUCUCUGUCUUUGGACAUGUAAGAAUUGGGUGUAAAGAAAUGUAGCCUUGGAGAAGUCUGGGGCCAGCUUACUCCCCGCAGGCUCAAGAUCAACCAUCUCACAUAC
Small nucleolar RNA from Phyllostomus hastatus (greater spear-nosed bat), 130 nucleotides. RefSeq annotates it as small nucleolar RNA SNORA38. NCBI's taxonomy places the organism in Eukaryota, Metazoa, Chordata, Mammalia, Chiroptera, Phyllostomidae. The record is from RefSeq and is a predicted model, not a curated record. The transcript has a single exon.